RNAcentral lists this small RNA (1162 nucleotides) under Pan troglodytes (chimpanzee). RNAcentral describes it as "retained intron". Lineage: Eukaryota; Metazoa; Chordata; Mammalia; Primates; Hominidae. The record is from RNAcentral.
ACAGCCCCUCGGGGAGUUUAAAUAAGGUGCUGCGGCACUUGAGUUCUGCAAAAGACACCUAUUCGCUGACCAGACAAAGAUGCUUAGCCACAACUCACAACUCUCAGGGUGCAGUUCGAAGAGGAGGAAGCAGCAUGGUAUAUAAAGCUCAUGCUCCCUUGAAGGCUGGUGAUUGAGACAAGUUAUGUCUUCUAGCAUUUGACUCCCUCAAAGAGAUUGCAGGACUUCCCUCUGAUUGCAGGUGGCUCAAUCCACUCAGAUCACCUAGAAACUUGAUAGAGAUUUAGAAUCUUAAAGAAGACAGAAGCUUAGACAGAGCAUGUAGCCCAGACCAUCAACAGAUGAAGAAGUUGAAUCCUGCAGGGACUACAAGGAGGAUCAUCCAUGAAGAUGGCUUCUCCGGAGAAGACGUGAAACAGUACAAGCCUGUUGUCUACAGCAACACCAUCCAGUCCCUGGCAGCCAUCGUCCGGGCCAUGGACACUUUGGGCAUCGAAUAUGGUGAUAAGGAGAGAAAGGCUGACGCCAAGAUGGUGUGUGAUGUGGUGAGUCGGAUGGAAGACACCGAGCCCUUCUCUGCAGAGCUGCUUUCUGCCAUGAUGCGGCUCUGGGGCGACUCAGGAAUCCAAGAGUGCUUCAACCGGUCCCGGGAGUAUCAGCUCAACGACUCUGCCAAAUACUACCUGGACAGCCUGGAUCGGAUUGGGGCCGCCGACUACCAGCCCACCGAGCAGGACAUCCUCCGAACCAGGGUCAAAACCACUGGCAUCGUAGAAACCCACUUCACAUUCAAGAACCUCCACUUCAGGCUGUUUGACGUCGGAGGCCAGCGAUCUGAACGCAAGAAGUGGAUCCAUUGCUUCGAGGACGUCACGGCCAUCAUUUUCUGUGUCGCGCUCAGCGGCUAUGACCAGGUGCUCCACGAAGACGAAACCACGAACCGCAUGCACGAGUCUCUCAUGCUCUUCGACUCCAUCUGUAACAACAAGUUCUUCAUCGAUACCUCCAUCAUUCUCUUCCUCAACAAGAAAGAUCUCUUUGGCGAGAAGAUCAAGAAGUCACCUUUGACCAUCUGCUUUCCUGAAUACACAGGCCCCAAUACCUAUGAAGACGCAGCCGCCUACAUCCAAGCACAAUUUGAAAGCAAAAACCGCUCACCCAA